AGAGUUUGAUCAUGGCUCAGAUUGAACGCUGGCGGCAGGCCUAACACAUGCAAGUCGAACGGUAACAGGAAACAGCUUGCUGUUUCGCUGACGAGUGGCGGACGGGUGAGUAAUGUCUGGGAAACUGCCUGAUGGAGGGGGAUAACUACUGGAAACGGUAGCUAAUACCGCAUAAUGUCGCAAGACCAAAGAGGGGGACCUUCGGGCCUCUUGCCAUCGGAUGUGCCCAGAUGGGAUUAGCUAGUAGGUGGGGUAACGGCUCACCUAGGCGACGAUCCCUAGCUGGUCUGAGAGGAUGACCAGCCACACUGGAACUGAGACACGGUCCAGACUCCUACGGGAGGCAGCAGUGGGGGAAUAUUGCACAAUGGGCGCAAGCCUGAUGCAGCCAUGCCGCGUGUAUGAAGAAGGCCUUCGGGUUGUAAAGUACUUUCAGCGGGGAGGAAGGGAGUAAAGUUAAUACCUUUGCUCAUUGACGUUACCCGCAGAAGAAGCACCGGCUAACUCCGUGCCAGCAGCCGCGGUAAUACGGAGGGUGCAAGCGUUAAUCGGAAUUACUGGGCGUAAAGCGCACGCAGGCGGUUUGUUAAGUCAGAUGUGAAAUCCCCGGGCUCAACCUGGGGAACUGCAUCUGAUACUGGCAAGCUUGAGUCUCGUAGAGGGGGGUAGAAUUCCAGGUGUAGCGGUGAAAUGCGUAGAGAUCUGGAGGAAUACCGGUGGCGAAGGCGGCCCCCUGGACGAAGACUGACGCUCAGGUGCGAAAGCGUGGGGAGCAAACAGGAUUAGAUACCCUGGUAGUCCACGCCGUAAACGAUGUCGACUUGGAGGUUGUGCCCUUGAGGCGUGGCUUCCGGAGCUAACGCGUUAAGUCGACCGCCUGGGGAGUACGGCCGCAAGGUUAAAACUCAAAUGAAUUGACGGGGGCCCGCACAAGCGGUGGAGCAUGUGGUUUAAUUCGAUGCAACGCGAAGAACCUUACCUGGUCUUGACAUCCACAGAACUUUCCAGAGAUGGAUUGGUGCCUUCGGGAACUGUGAGACAGGUGCUGCAUGGCUGUCGUCAGCUCGUGUUGUGAAAUGUUGGGUUAAGUCCCGCAACGAGCGCAACCCUUAUCCUUUGUUGCCAGCGGUCCGGCCGGGAACUCAAAGGAGACUGCCAGUGAUAAACUGGAGGAAGGUGGGGAUGACGUCAAGUCAUCAUGGCCCUUACGACCAGGGCUACACACGUGCUACAAUGGCGCAUACAAAGAGAAGCGACCUCGCGAGAGCAAGCGGACCUCAUAAAGUGCGUCGUAGUCCGGAUUGGAGUCUGCAACUCGACUCCAUGAAGUCGGAAUCGCUAGUAAUCGUGGAUCAGAAUGCCACGGUGAAUACGUUCCCGGGCCUUGUACACACCGCCCGUCACACCAUGGGAGUGGGUUGCAAAAGAAGUAGGUAGCUUAACCUUCGGGAGGGCGCUUACCACUUUGUGAUUCAUGACUGGGGUGAAGUCGUAACAAGGUAACCGUAGGGGAACCUGCGGUUGGAUCACCU
Molecule: ribosomal RNA, 1532 nt
Filed under: Escherichia coli
Lineage: Bacteria; Pseudomonadati; Pseudomonadota; Gammaproteobacteria; Enterobacterales; Enterobacteriaceae
Description: bacterial SSU rRNA
Rfam family: Bacterial small subunit ribosomal RNA
Source: RNAcentral